Molecule: ribosomal RNA, 444 nt
Filed under: uncultured bacterium
Lineage: Bacteria
Description: partial 16S ribosomal RNA
Rfam family: Bacterial small subunit ribosomal RNA
Source: RNAcentral
GUAGGGAAUAUUGGGCAAUGGUCGGAAGACUGACCCAGCCAUGCCGCGUGCAGGAAGACGGCCCUCUGGGUUGUAAACUGCUUUUAUCUGGGAAGAAAAAGGCCAUGCGUGGCAAAUUGCCGGUACCAGAUGAAUAAGCACCGGCUAACUCCGUGCCAGCAGCCGCGGUAAUACGGAGGGUGCGAGCGUUGUCCGGAUUUUUUGGGUUUAAAGGGUGCGUAGGCGGCUGAUUAAGUUAGCGGUGAAAGACUUCGGCUUAACCGGAGCAGUGCCGUUGAUACUGGUUGGCUUGAGUGUCGGAGGGGUACAUGGAAUUGAUGGUGUAGCGGUGAAAUGCAUAGAUACCAUCAGGAACACCGAUAGCGAAGGCAUUGUACUGGCCGACAACUGACGCUGAUGCACGAAAGUGUGGGGAUCGAACAGGAUUAGAAACCCUAGUAGUCC